RNAcentral lists this ribosomal RNA (83 nucleotides) under Campylobacter jejuni. RNAcentral describes it as "partial 16S ribosomal RNA". The stretch from base 1 to 73 matches the Rfam family "Bacterial small subunit ribosomal RNA", at positions 1461 to 1533 of the family's 1533-position model. RNAcentral also lists the same sequence under 9 other names. The record is from RNAcentral. Lineage: Bacteria; Pseudomonadati; Campylobacterota; Epsilonproteobacteria; Campylobacterales; Campylobacteraceae.
UUUGUGAUUCAUGACUGGGGUGAAGUCGUAACAAGGUAACCGUAGGGGAACCUGCGGUUGGAUCACCUCCUUACCUUAAAGAA